This is a non-coding RNA of Myodes glareolus (Bank vole), 1545 nucleotides long. The record is from RefSeq and is a predicted model, not a curated record. NCBI's taxonomy places the organism in Eukaryota, Metazoa, Chordata, Mammalia, Rodentia, Cricetidae.
CAAUUCCUAUCUUUAAGGAAAGAGCCUACGGCUAUACUGCUCUGGGCACCUAGGAGCCUGUUUCUACAAAGGUAGGAAAAGAGAUGUCCGGAACCUAGGGGCCCAGAAGACGGCGAACGAAGCCCCCUCUGCAGACCCAAGGAACCACCUGUCCUCAAGCCCCUGGCCCAGACCUGCUGUAGUUCUCCUCAGGACCUCUCUCUUCUGCAUCAGCCUCAUCAGUCCUGUCGUACGUCAGGAGGUCUGCAGGGACAUCAUGAAUCUGGACACUAGGUGCAUGGUUCAGCAUCUUCAAGUUUUCAAAGAUUGUCUGGCGGAUCUGGUCCAGAUACUAGUUGAAAGGAAGGAAAAGUCAGCAGCUCCUGAAUUCCCGGAAUACACACCCUCCUCUCUGCCUUCUGCUCUGAACUGGUUUAAAGAAGUAUUUCAAGUUCAGAUCCCAGUUGAUAACUGUCCCUACUUUAUCCUGGGCUUCCCCACAAUGGUAAGCGUGACAGUGACAGCCAGGACCUCCUUCUCUUGCUUUCUCCUAAUUCCCACCUCCCCGACCUCUCGAGUCCUCUUCUCAUCACUUCUCCAGCUUCUCCCAGCUGCUAACCUGGCGUGAGUUCUGAUUCUCGAUGCGGGUGCUGACGUCUGGAUGGAGCGUGAAGUCCGGGGCAAAGUACUCGAAGUAUUCUUAGAGAUGGGAAGGGAUUGGAAGAGGGGAUGAAGCAGUACGGCUGAAUACAAAAAGAGUCCAUAGUGAAUCACAAAGGAGAAAGAGAACGGAGGACUCACCAGCACCGGGCAACAUUUCGGACAGUGUAGCCACCACCACCCAGCACCAGGAGAGGGAUAUUGAAGCUCUUGACAUAUUCAACACAUUCCCUGUUAGAAGCAAUAAGAGGAGUGGGUGAAUCCAAGAAUGUGACCCCAGGUAUCACUUGAAUGCUAGACAAAGAAACUGGCAACUAAAUGUUCUCUAUGUUGUUCUGGGCAGCAUAACUCACAGUGGCAUUUUUUGUGUGUGACUGCUUGUGUAGAUGUGUGUGAAUCUUCAUGUGUGUUGAUGCCUGCAUGUGUGUGUUGGGGAUGUCUACAUGUAUGUGCAUAUGUACAGAGCGGCCAGAAGAUAUCAAGUGUUGUUCUAAAGGUACCAUCCACCUCUUUUUAUUUUUUAUUUUUGGGCCUGAAACUUCCCAAUUAGGCUAAGAUGACUGGUCACCAAGCCCUAGGAAUCUUCUUGUCUCUACCUUACCAGGACUGAGAUUAUGAAUCAUAAAUGCAUGCUAUUGGGCCUGACAUUCUUACAUGGGUUCUGGGGGAUCAAAUUCAAGUCUUCAUGUUUGUGUAACAAGCACUUUUACUGAGUGUGCUAUUCACCCGAUCCCCACCCCAUGCCUUCCUGCCUCAAGAUUAGAUUUUAUUCAAGAUUAGUGUGCACUAGGGACUGGAGAGUUGACACAGCAGUAAAGUGUGUUUACUGCUCUUCCUGAAGACCAGAGUUUCAGUUUCCAGCACAUACACUGAGCAGCUCACAAGCACCUGUAACUCUAGCUCCAG